RNAcentral lists this ribosomal RNA (433 nucleotides) under uncultured bacterium. Its description in RNAcentral is "partial 16S ribosomal RNA". It matches the Rfam family "Bacterial small subunit ribosomal RNA", at positions 28 to 507 of the family's 1533-position model. The record is from RNAcentral.
AACGAACGCUGGCGGCAUGCCUAACACAUGCAAGUCGAACGAUACCUUCGGGUCUAGUUGCGCACGUGUGCGUAACGCGCGAGAACCUGCCCUUAACUUGGGAAUCACUCCCCGAACGGGGGGCUAAUACCGGGUAAUUUUUGCUGACCAAGGAUUUGUCGCCUUUGUAUCGGGAUGGGUUGGGGUAGAUAGUUGUUAGGGUAAGGGCCUACCAAGGCGGCGAUCCAUAGCUGGGCUGGGAGGAUGAACAGCCACGCUGGGACUGAGACGCGGCCCAGACUACUACUGGAGGAUGGGGUGGGGAAUGAUGGAGCGUGGGCGAGAGCGUGAUGGAGCCAUGCCGCGUGAGUGACGAAGGCGUUAGGGAAGUAGAGCUGUUUUAUCUGUGAUGAUGAUGACGGUAGCGGGAGAAUAAGCGCCGGCUAACUCCGUG